GGAUCCGUAACUUCGGAAUAAGGAUUGGCUCUGAGGACCGGGGCGUGUCGGGUUUGGACGGGAAGCGGAUGCGGCCGGUGCCGGGUCUGGUCGAUGUUCGUGCGUUAUGUUCG
This 113-nucleotide microRNA precursor is filed under the name Bombyx mori (domestic silkworm). RNAcentral describes it as "microRNA bmo-mir-6497 precursor". The record is from miRBase by way of RNAcentral. Lineage: Eukaryota; Metazoa; Arthropoda; Insecta; Lepidoptera; Bombycidae.